AUACUUACCUGGACGGGGUCGAUGGGUGAUCUAGAAGGCCCAUGGCCUAGGUUAGUGACUUUCAUUGCACUUGAAGGAGGGGUGCUCGCCUAAGGUCUACCCAAGUGGUGGAGCCUACGUCAUAAUUUGUGAUAGCGGGGGUUUGCGUUCGCGCAGCCCCUGU
Camellia sinensis is the source of this 163-nucleotide small nuclear RNA. RefSeq annotates it as U1 spliceosomal RNA. The record is from RefSeq and is a predicted model, not a curated record. NCBI's taxonomy places the organism in Eukaryota, Viridiplantae, Streptophyta, Magnoliopsida, Ericales, Theaceae.